CGGACCGUCGCGGGUGAGCUGGACUGCAGAUGAGUAUCCCGGCAUGCAGUGGCAAGGUGUCCUUUCGUCUCCACAGAGAUGUCCCACGUCAUCUUCUCCCCCAGUGUCAGCUGAGAGGGUCCUGAGCCAGGCUUUCUCGUGUCUCUUCUCUUAUCGCCCCCCUCACCCCCCAAUGCUUUGUCGUGGUUACAGAUGCCAACUAUUAGGCCUCAGAUCUUUCUGGAUUAAAGCUGUCAGUGUGUUCUUCCGU
Long non-coding RNA from Mastomys coucha (southern multimammate mouse), 250 nucleotides. RefSeq lists it as uncharacterized. The record is from RefSeq and is a predicted model, not a curated record. The transcript is spliced from 2 exons. Lineage: Eukaryota; Metazoa; Chordata; Mammalia; Rodentia; Muridae.